Oncorhynchus keta (chum salmon) is the source of this 874-nucleotide long non-coding RNA. RefSeq lists it as uncharacterized. The transcript is spliced from 3 exons. The record is from RefSeq and is a predicted model, not a curated record. Lineage: Eukaryota; Metazoa; Chordata; Actinopteri; Salmoniformes; Salmonidae.
UUUUAACUUGACAGUUGUUUCUGGUGUUGUCCUUAUGAUCUGUAAAGCAGGACAUGUCCUCCCCCUACAUAAAGGAGGCCUUCUGACUUACAUAACUAUCCAACAAUUAGAAAAUGAUCUUGCCUUCACAAAGUACUAGAAUCCCUGGACAACUAACUGUCAACUAAGAACAUCUUUAACUUCCCACUCUAUUCUUAAUGUGAACCAAUCAGGUUUUAGAAUCCCAUCUAUUCUUAAUGUGAACCAAUCAGGUUUUAGAAUCCCAUCUAUUCUUAAUGUGAACCAAUCAGGUUUUAGAAUCCCAUCUAUUCUUAAUGUGAUCAAAUCAGGUUUUAGAAUCCCAUCUAUUCUUAAUGUGAACCAAUCAGGUUUUAGAAUCCCAUCUAUUCUUAAUGUGAACCAAGCAGGUUUUAGAAUCCCAUCUAUUCUUAAUGUGAACCAAUCCGGUUUUAGAAUCCCAUCUAUUCUUAAUGUGAACCAAUCAGGUUUUAGAAUCCCAUCUAUUCUUAAUGUGAACCAAUCAGGUUUUAGACCUGGACAGAGCACAACAUUCCUUGCAUUUUUGUUUCCCUGGAGCCUCUAGUGCAGGUCAGGACUCUGGUGUUGAAUUAUUUCAAUGAAGAUUGUAUUUUACCCCUUUUUUUCUCCACAAUUUCGAUCUUGUCUCAUCGCUGCAACUCCCCAAUGGGCUCGGGAGGCAAAGGUUGAGUCACGUGUCCUCUGAAACAUGACCCACCAAACCACGCUUCUUAAAACCCGGAAGCCAGCCGCACCAAUGUGUCCGAGGAAAUACUAUUUAACUGACGACCGGGUUAGCCUGCAGGCGCCCUGACCCGCCACAAGGAGUCACUAGAGCGCGAUGAGCCAUGUAAAG